GAUGAACGCUGGCGGCGUGCCUAAUACAUGCAAGUCGAGCGAACAGACGAGGAGCUUGCUCCUCUGACGUUAGCGGCGGACGGGUGAGUAACACGUGGAUAACCUACCUAUAAGACUGGGAUAACUUCGGGAAACCGGAGCUAAUACCGGAUAAUAUAUUGAACCGCAUGGUUCAAUAGUGAAAGACGGUUUUGCUGUCCCUUAUAGAUGGAUCCGCGCCGCAUUAGCUAGUUGGUACGGUAACGGCUUACCAAGGCAACGAUGCGUAGCCGACCUGAGAGGGUGAUCGGCCACACUGGAACUGAGACACGGUCCAGACUCCUACGGGAGGCAGCAGUAGGGAAUCUUGCGCAAUGGGCGAAAGCUUGACGGAGCAACGCCGCGUGAGUGAUGGAGGUCUUCGGAUCGUAAAACUCUGUUAUUAGGGAAGAACAAAUGUGUAAGUAACUAUGCACGUCUGGACGGUACCUAAUCAGAAAGCCACGGCUAACUACGU
Molecule: ribosomal RNA, 496 nt
Filed under: uncultured bacterium
Lineage: Bacteria
Description: partial 16S ribosomal RNA
Rfam family: Bacterial small subunit ribosomal RNA
Source: RNAcentral